Molecule: ribosomal RNA, 622 nt
Filed under: Niphargus hrabei
Lineage: Eukaryota; Metazoa; Arthropoda; Malacostraca; Amphipoda; Niphargidae
Description: partial large subunit ribosomal RNA
Rfam family: Eukaryotic large subunit ribosomal RNA
Source: RNAcentral
UCGAUCCUAAGCCAACUGUGAAAGCAGUGACAUCCCGACAAAGGGGCCGAAUACGUGCGCCGUACUUACACCCCCACAGCAAAGUUCUCUCACACUCUCUCUGUCUGACGACAAGGUGACGGCAAAAGAAAUGCGCACACACGGUGAUCACUACAAAUACGUGUGAGUGUGUGCGCUUGUUUGGUUACGCUCAAAAGCGUUGAUGGGGCUCUGCAAUGCGAGAGAGGUAGAGAGAGCGUGGGUGCGCGUGAGUUACCUGCACGAGCCUUCUGAGUUGGUUCUAUGUCUGGCGAAAGGGAAUGGGGACUUUGUUCCUUGACCGGUCCCGGCACCCUCGAUAGGCUUUGCCAUUCAAUGGUCCAUGCAAAUGGAACCAGGCCACAGCCGCCGGCAGUCGCCCGAGGAAGAGUUUUCUUUUCUGCUUAACGCACGAGGUCAUCCCUGGAAACAGUUCGGCUGGCGAAAGGGUGCCCCGUUGCGGCAGAGCGCCACGACUGUCGUGCGCGUCUCGGUGUUCCUGCCGGUCCGUGAAGACGUGGUCGAGGGGAUUGCUCUUGUAUCAACGAAACGCCCGACAAGUUCGGGACGGACCGUACCCUAUAUCCGCAUCUGGUCUCCAGGU